CCUACGGGUGGCAGCAGUGAGGACUAUUGGUCAAUGGACGAGAGUCUGAACCAGCCAAGUAGCGUGAAGGAUGACUGCCCUAUGGGUUGUAAACUUCUUUUAUAUGGGAAUAAAAUGUUCCACGUGUGGGAUUUUGUAUGUACCAUAUGAAUAAGGAUCGGCUAACUCCGUGCCAGCAGCCGCGGUAAUACGGAGGAUCCGAGCGUUAUCCGUAUUUAUUGGGUUUAAAGGGAGCGUAGGUGGAUUGUUAAGUCAGUUGUGAAAGUUUGCGGCUCAACCGUAAAAUUGCAGUUGAAACUGGCAGUCUUGAGUACAGUAGAGGUGGGCGGAAUUCGUGGUGUAGCGGUGAAAUGCUUAGAUAUCACGAAGAACUCCGAUUGCGAAGGCAGUUCACUGGACUGCAACUGACACUGAGGCUCGAAAGUGUGGGUAUCAAACAGGAUUAGAUACCCCAGUAGUC
Molecule: ribosomal RNA, 460 nt
Filed under: uncultured bacterium
Lineage: Bacteria
Description: partial 16S ribosomal RNA
Rfam family: Bacterial small subunit ribosomal RNA
Source: RNAcentral